CAGUAGCCGCGGUAAUACGUAGGUCCCGAGCGUUGUCCGGAUUUAUUGGGCGUAAAGCGAGCGCAGGCGGUUAGAUAAGUCUGAAGUUAAAGGCUGUGGCUUAACCAUAGUACGCUUUGGAAACUGUUUAACUUGAGUGCAGAAGGGGAGAGUGGAAUUCCAUGUGUAGCGGUGAAAUGCGUAGAUAUAUGGAGGAACACCGGUGGCGAAAGCGGCUCUCUGGUCUGUAACUGACGCUGAGGCUCGAAAGCGUGGGGAGCAAACAGGAUUAGAUACCCGAGUAGUCCCUGUCUCUUAUACA
This 301-nucleotide ribosomal RNA is filed under the name uncultured bacterium. RNAcentral's name for it is "partial 16S ribosomal RNA". It matches the Rfam family "Bacterial small subunit ribosomal RNA", at positions 509 to 808 of the family's 1533-position model. The record is from RNAcentral.